UUCAUCUUUCCCAAAUGUAAUAGACAAUCUCAGCUCUCCUUGCAGUUAGUUAGGGUCAUGUGAUUAAAUCUAGCCAAUGAGUUGUGAACUUCUUGAUGGGCAUUUAAUGCCAGUGAGAGAUCCACCAGAGAUCUUUUUUCCUCUGCUCUUGAGAAUGGCAGUAUUCCAAAUGAUAGUUCCUCCAUUAUCCUUAUUCUUAAAGGGAGGAUGGCAUGGAGCAGAGCCCUCAGCCAGCCUGUGAUGAACAUGCAGCAUGCACAAGAAAUGAGCCCUUGUUAUUUCAAUCCAUCAAGAUUUGGGGGAUGUUUGUUACUGCCACAAAUCCUAGCCCCUUGACACUCAAAGAGUGACCUGCAGACUGGCUGCAUCAGCCUCAUCUGGGGGUUUGUUAGAAAUUCAGAAUCUUGGACCCUUCUUUCAGACCUGCUGAAUCAGGGACUGCAUUUUUUUUGUUUUUUUGUUUUUUUGUUUUUGUUUUUGUUUUUUUGAGACAGAGUCUCACUCUGUCACCCAGGCUGGAGUGCAGUGGUGAGAUCUCAGAUCACUGCAGCCUCCGCCUCUUGGGUUCAAGCGAUUCUCAUGCCUCAGCCUCCUGAGUAGCUGGGACUACAGGGAUGCACCACCAUGCCCAGCCAAUUUUUGUAUUUUUUGGUAGAGACAGGAUUUCACCAUAUUGGCCUGUCUGAUCUUGAACUCCUGACCUCAAACGAUCCACCCACCUCAGCCUCCCAAAGUGCUGGGAUUACAGGCAUGGGCCACUGCACCCAGAUCUAGGAGCUGCAUUUUAAUAAGGGGCCUCGGGUGAUCUGUGCACAUAAUAAGAAUCCCAGAGUUCUGCUCUAGCCUAUCUGGAAUGAUACUCAGGCGAAGGGAGGCAGAAUCCGUGGAAGUUGAGAAGUGUACGCAGAAGCCUGCAUUCCAGCAGCAAGAACGACAUCUUCUAAAGACUCAAGAUGGCCUCUAAUCUUCAUGGCCUAAUUCCCUGAUCCUCCAACCAGGAGGCCUCCCCAGGCCUGAAAGAAGUGUUUGUAAAGGUCAACUCCCUUAGAUCUUUUAAAUUCCAAGAACAAAAGAUAAAAGAAGCUCUACCAAAAUACAAACAACAAGCAACAACAACAACAAUCUUCCUACCUUGAUGUGUACGUCUGUAAUUGUGGUGUUAAAGUUGUGUAGGGAAAAAGGGAGAAAGCUUCAUUUGUCUUCCUCCAGCUUGAGUUGAUAGUUGGUGAUUGGACUAAUGGUCCCAUGUACUGUUGUAACUUCAGGAACCGCCGUGAAGCAAGGAUUCAUCAAAGAGGGGAAGCGAGAGGAUUUUGUUUGCUUAUUUAAUAAAAAAAAUUAAAAAAAUAGAGAUUUCCUUUAGCUUGGAGGUAUGGUUUAAUUAGAAUGGUUUUCUCCUGGGUUUUUGUGCCCUCAUUCUCCACCUCUCCUCCAUAAAGCCUGCCUGAGAAAUGCCUUCUUAAAUAUGAACAAAAUCAUCCUAAUUAUUUAAUCUACUCUUAUGGAACACAGCACGUGGAAGAAUGCGCCCUCAGUUUGACCUUCUGUGGUAGAGGAAAAGAGAGAAAGUCUA
Molecule: long non-coding RNA, 1573 nt
Filed under: Homo sapiens (human)
Lineage: Eukaryota; Metazoa; Chordata; Mammalia; Primates; Hominidae
Description: HSALNT0195422
Source: RNAcentral